This 5893-nucleotide long non-coding RNA is filed under the name Chlamydomonas reinhardtii. RNAcentral's name for it is "long non-coding RNA (CREI_LNC000161)". Lineage: Eukaryota; Viridiplantae; Chlorophyta; Chlorophyceae; Chlamydomonadales; Chlamydomonadaceae. The record is from RNAcentral.
UCCGGGAGAUGAGGCUAGUAUCGGAACCUUCGGCCUCAGACGGAGGACGUGGCGUGGCGGCACAGCCCACUUUUCCCUUGCAAGGGAGAGCCACCUUCUCUUGUCCCUUCGUACGGUAAGAAGGCUGGUGUAAUUGGUUUCUUGUAACACAAAGCAGGAAUGUGGGCGGUGAGCUGAUGUGCUGCACCUCGCCUUGUGGGGGUCUGGGACUCUGGGAGUACGCUGCACACUACGUAGUGUGGGACUACGCCAACCUGUCCCUUACCCUGUCCUAUCGCAUACACAAUACACACACGGGUAUGUUCCCCUGCAAAACACACACUUUCAAUUAUUCGCAGUGUAGUGUUGGCUCUCUCCUGUUGGAUUUGGGUUUUGCCCCGCCCCCGCCGGGGUACUACCAGAAUCACGCGUGUCCCUCAGGCUGGGGCCAUCAUCUAGCUCGGUGCACGCGCACCAACAAUGGUGCGCGUCACGGCCAUGUCCACGUCCUAGACAUCCAACUUACGCAUCCUAGCGCGACUCAAGCUGCCGAAGCCAUCUACGUUAGCACCUGCAACGGCCACGUCCCCCCAUCAGUAGACAGGCGCAGGAGCGAAGAAUUCUCCACAGCUGCCGCGCUAUUCCGCACCACCUGUCUAGCACGCAUGGCCCACAGCCACCAACACACAUGCUUGCCGGCUCAGCAGCCGCCGCAGUACAGCCUGCAUGGGGGCGGGGGGGGCAAGGGGGGCAGUUGUUGUUGUUGUUGUGCCUGACCCAAACCUGCCAUUCCUGCAUGCCACCCCAAACCUGCCAUUCCUGCAUGCCACCCCAAACCUGCCCCAGCCCUGACCCAAGCCUGCCCCAAACCUGCCAUCCCAAACCUGACACAAACCUGACCCGAACCUGACCUCGGCCCGCCACGACCCCCACCCGCACCCCCACCAGUGCCAACACCCCCACCAACACCAACACCAGCGCCGCCAGUUCCACUGCAGGGUUGGCAGGGCCUUAGAUUUAGAUAACUAAGGAUAUGCUUAUAUAGCUUAUAUAUAACUUAGACAUUAGACAGAGGCCCCCCGACGACCAUAGUCAACGCACGGUCAAACUAAUGUUGCUGCGGUAUAUAGCAUUAUAUAAGCUUAUCUAAUCUUACCCAAGGUUUAGACUGGGGCCAUACAUGCGGUACGCCGCCCACGUGCCAGGCCCCAGCAAGAUCCUCGCCGCGGGCCUUGAAGCCAGCGACGAGGAGCUGAUCCUGCAGCAGUGCGAGGAGGAGGAGGAGGAGCUGGGGGCGGCGGCGGCGGCGCAGCAGGCGGCGCAGCCGCGCCUGCAGCUGACGGCAGAGGGCAUGCCGUACAUUACGGAGACGGAGCCGCUCGUGGAGUGAACAAAGCGGCCGCCGCAGCGGAGCACGGACAGGAGGCUGCAGCGGAGAGGAAGCUGAGCCAGCUUGAGCAUUCACGCAUUCUUUCAUUAUAUAUGGGGGCUUGACGUAGACUGCGUGGGGUGCAUGGGGCCCCAUAUGGGGAGUCGAAUGAGGCUGAGAGCGGCUGCGGCGGCAUUGACGUGCAUGGGUUUGGGGACCGUCAGGGGCUGGAGUGCAGUGGGUCGGGCAGCACAGGCUUUCGGACUGUUGAUUACAGAAGGGGACGGAGAGAGCAACGCAUUAGACUACUUAGCAGCAAAAACGGCUCAGCCCAUGACCCACUUCUCCUUGGGACACCCCCCGUGUAAGGUGGGCCUGCCUAACUUAAAUAAGCAUAGAUAAGCAUAGAUAAGCUUAUCUAAGGCUUUGGUCCGCGCGGCUAUCUAAGGUUUUGGCCAACCCUGUUCCACUGUGGCCGCCCCUGUUCCCCGCCGCUCCACCCCCCACAGCGGCGCCGUGGUCUUUCACCCGGUGGACAGUCACGCAACGAUGACGUGUACCCUUGCGUGCACCCCGGGUUGGGGGAGGUUGGGUCUCCCUGUUCGAAGGCUGGCCGCACGCAGCGCAUUGCCCUGAGCCUGCUUCCGAUUCCACACUCCUGCCCCCCGCCCAAUGUCGCUGUGUCGCUGUGCCGAUCCUUGCCCGCCGGAGCCCCCAGCCCCACCGAGCCAUCCACUCCAGCGCCUGUCACUCCGCCACCGUAUUUAGCGCCCCCCUGCCGGGAAGGGGUAGUUGGCGACAUUCGACGACCAUAUGCAGCCCCACGCGGCGAGAAUGCGCCCGCGGAAAUGCCCAAUCUUUCUCGCCCGAUGGCCUGCCUCUGGGGGCGUUUCUUGCCGUUCCCUUAAGAUGCAAGCCCUGGCCAAGGCCCUUGCUUGCCCUAGCCGCCUCCGCCUCCAUUGCCGAACGCGGCAGGCUGCGGGAUUUCGCCGCCACCUCUAACCUCUUCCUUGGUGGCACCCCGCCAGCAGCGCGGCCGUUGCCUGCGCCAUGAGGGCACAUCAUCCCGAGCAAGGUCAGCAUUUGGCCGACACGCAAAACCCGCGCUGCUGCGAGCUCCCUCCCAACGCAGUCUCCGAACGGGAGGUGGCAGGGGUAAGAGGCGGUGGGACCCUGCUGCCAGGUGCAGAUGUAAAUGUGUUGGGCAAGUUACACAGGGCACGAGGCGACGAGGGUCAAGGCACACCAGGGCACACUGUCACGGCAGGCGAGUGCAUGCGACACACACACACACACACAAAAAAAAUACCGUAUUGCCACGCUCAAUUGGUGAUUUUAUAAUUGGUGACAGGAAGAAAUCGCGUUGGAAUUAAACAGUCUGACACAGAUUUUGGUGAUGGGCUCUGGCAGAAGCCAGGCCGAAGUACACCCGUGUCACAGAAUUGGUGAUGGGACCCCCCAAAUCGUACCCAGCGUCUCCGGCCCCGGCAGCUGCAACACAAGCCCCGCGCUUGCAGGCGCAGUCAGGCGCUAUCCAGCCAAUGUCCCACAGCUUAAGCUGCUUAGGGCCUUUGGGGGCUACACUGAGCAUUGUGCGUACACUAUUGCUUAGUAUAGGAAUAGCGUCACUAGCCAAAGCAGCCUGUUUGCGUGUUUUCGCCCGACUUGGAUUCAGAGUGCACAGGCAUUGGUGACGGGCUCUGGCAAAUCCUAGUCGACAAUGUUCCCUGCUACCAAAUUGGUGAUUUUCACCAAAUUGGUGUCACCAAUUGAGCGUGGCAGUACGGUAGAUAAACCUUCAUCCUGGGACAGCUCCGACUAACCCCCAACUAACUCGUGUACGGCACCCCAACCCCCCUCAGCCGUACAGGAGGUAGCGUGGCAGUCGGCAGCUGCGCGAGUGUGAGCAGGUAGUUGUAUGGCGGCCGGCUCGGAAGCUACCUGUAUGUAGUGACGCACACGGGCAGUUGGCGCUAGUCGACAGGCGCGCGAGUGGGAGCUGGCAGUUGAGCGCGCACGCGUGUGGGAAGCUGCGUCUGAGCACGGCGGAGCACGGCAGAGGCUGGUGGUUGGCGCGGCGCGCGAGUGGCAGUGCAUAGUCGUGCGCCGUCUGGGAAGCUGCGUGUGUGAGCUGCGUGUAAGCUCAGAGAGACGCAUGGGGCUGCCCCUGUGCCAUAAGCUGCCUCUGGGUGCAAACGCUUUCACACGGUUGACAGUUGGGCUCCGGCGGGGGUGGGAAUCGCGCGAGUGCACGACGGGCGCUGGGGGGCAGGGCGCAUACACGCAGAACUCUAGUAAAACCGAGAAAUGGCCAUUCGUAGGCGCUGGCGCAUAGCCAGCUGUAAACAUUAUCGUACUUACUGGGACAGUUAACGGUGGGGGGUAAGCCGUGCGCUCCUUCAAUUCAUCGCCUCAGGCUCAGGUCCUUAUGCAGCUGCUCCACGCGGGUACCACCAGGCGGCUGGAUGGGGUCUAGGGGAGCCCCUUCUUCCACGGGCCUUUUCACUAUGAGCAAUAACUCGUACAAGGGUGCUGACCCUUUUCUCGACCCUUUUCCCUCGACCCUGGUGAAACUGGGUUGCCGUCCGGGGGUGCGUUUUCCCAGCCAAACCCGCACGCGUGGCGGCCCUUGGACGUUGCCCCGGGGCAAAUCCUACCGCACAGAUUAGACACCGCCUUUAAAUAGGUACAUAACCAACAUCAUGAUUAGCCAGAAGUGGUCGGCAAACGUCCAAAUUAUGCUUAUCGGGGCUCAAGUCGCGAAAUUGACCCAAGCCCAUAUCUCACAUAUGCGCUGUUUGGGGCCUGAAUCAAUUGCCGCCAAUGUAAUUUCUAGUAUAUAUGUAAACAAGAUAGCUUCAGGCUAAGUUGGCGGGGUCCUGGCGAGCGCGACAAUUAGCAUUUCCACUUGAGCUCUCGCUCGAAAUUAUGCCCGAGCACCAUCCAGGGACCUUAUUAUAUGUAUAGGACGCCAAUUCAAUGGUCGGGGCGAUAAUCUGGGCAUAGACCUCGCGAUCCCGCCCUUGACCCCUGGAGUGGUACCCGCGUCGAAACCCUAAGGACCGACCCGAAUCAGCAUUGCAGCGGUGUCAGGACAGCCCGGGACAGUCUGCAAGGACCAAAACCCAACUGUCCUAUCCGAAUCCGAAAGUGCGCAAAGCAAUCCUCACCUGCCCUAUCCCAAUCCUCAAGUGCCAACACCAAUCCUCACCCGAACAAACCCAAUCCCCAAAAGUGGUAUUCCAAUCCCUGGCCGGUCAAACCCAAUCCUCAAGUGCUGGGUCCAAUCCUACUCUGGCCAAUCCAAUCCACGGAGGGGUGACCGGCGGCGGGACCAAUCCUAUACCCCAUACCACCCCUCUGCCCGCGUGAGCUGCUCGCAGGCUGCCAGAGCUCGGAAGCGGCAUCCUGCUGCUUUAAGGACGUUUCAGGACAUGGGCCUCCGGGCCAAGGCAUUGCGCGUCUGUGACGCCGUCGAGAAAAUGUGUGGUGCUUGCGUUUGAUGGGGAUGUCGGCAGACCUCUGGCCUGUCGCGCCUUGUUGUGCGUUGGUGCUGCCGCCAAAAGACCUAAACGAGAUGAGGGGUGUUACGUGGCGGUGGGGCUUUGGCGGGCUUCGGCUUGGCUUCGACUCAUGUGCGUAACACUAUGAAGGUCGGCAGCCAACCAGGGGGCGGGUGUUGUUUCUCUGGGUCGCAGAUGGCCCUUCGCGGCGUGGGUACGGCGUGCCCCCGCUUGUCGGGUUGUCCCUUCAAUUGUAAUCCGCAUCCUUUAAGGAUGGUCUGGCAUUUUUAACAAAGGUUGUUUCAGAGCCGCUCAGCCUCUGGAGGGAUCUGCACAGGCCUCUGAAGGGCUCUGAGGGCUCUGAAGGGGAGGGCUUGAGUCCGGCACGCAAGCGGCCUGCGCGCCGAAGCAGAACACGGGCUGAGCCAGCACACAAGUGAGCACCGGGAAGUUCCCAUUCCAGCGCUGGCAAGGCGUGUGAAGUGGUACAGUGCACCAUGCAGUGGGUGCAUGGGCGCGAGGGCACGUAGGCCCGAGUGGCUUCACCGGUCGCUCUGCUCGCUUGUACGGCAGCCAGGUCGCAUCCGAGCGCCCUCACAACAACAGCCGCCAUCGGAGCAAUGCCACAUCCGAGUCAGUUAACGUGCCUCGUCCCGUGGGCCCUCAAAACGACAGCACUUCACACACACAGUUGCGCUCUACUUGCACCGGCGCUCCCAUUCGUAACACGCGCCGCACAUGCCAUGCCUGUACCCGGCGGCCUUGGUGCCACACUUGCAGCGGCAGCCGUCGGGGCCCAGCAGCGCUGCUGCCAAAUGGCAACGCGCCGCCGCGAAGGCCGCAUUCAAUAAGUGCGCAACGGCGGGUUCUGGGCUCGGCCCGCCGGCGCCCCGCCCAGCGGCCAGCAGCAUUGCAUUCUUGAGGAUGGCGCAGGCGGUGCAAUCUGGAUGGGAUCUGUGACGCGUCACGACGUACUACGGUACUAGUGGCACGCAGCACACUACUGCACAAACGAGUCGCUGUCGAUCACCAGCUUGUCAGU